This 441-nucleotide ribosomal RNA is filed under the name uncultured bacterium. RNAcentral describes it as "partial 16S ribosomal RNA". It matches the Rfam family "Bacterial small subunit ribosomal RNA", at positions 338 to 795 of the family's 1533-position model. The record is from RNAcentral.
CCUACGGGUGGCAGCAGUGGGGGAUAUUGCACAAUGGGGGAAACCCUGAUGCAGCGACGCCGCGUGGGUGAAGAAGUAUUUCGGUAUGUAAAGCCCUAUCAGCAGGGAAGAAAGAAGACGGUACCUGACGAAGAAGCCCCGGCUAACUACGUGCCAGCAGCCGCGGUAAGACGGAGGGGGCGAGCGUUAUCCGGAUCCACUGGGUGUAAAGGGAGCGUAGACGGCCGUGCCAGCCAGGAGUGAAAGCCCGGGGCCCAACCCCGGGACUGCUCUUGGAACUGUGCGGCUGGAGUGCGGGAGGGGCAGGCGGUCUUCCCGGUGUAGCGGUGAACUGCGUAUAUCUCAGGAGGAACCCCGGCGGCGAAGGCGGCCUGCUGGACCGCGACUGACGUUGAGGCUCGAAAGCGUGGGGAGCGAACAGGAUUCGCUACCCUUGUAGUC